GGAGGGUGCAAACGGUUGUCCGGAAUUACUGGGCGUAAAGGGCGCGUAGGCGGACUUGUAAGUCAGGAGUGAAAACUCAGGGGCUCAACCCUGAGCCUGCUUCUGAAACUGCAAGUCUUGAGGACCCGGAGAGGAAAGUGGAAUUCCUAGUGUAGCGGUGGAAUGCGUAGAUAUUAGGAAGAACACCAGUGGCGAAGGCGACUUUCUGGACGGUACCUGACGCUGAGGCGCGAAAGCUAGGGGAGCAAACAGGAUUAGAUACCCUGGUAGUCCUAGCUGUAAACGAUGAGUGCUAGGUGGUGGUAGUUUCAACGCUUUCACUGCCGAAGCUAACGCAUUAAGCACUCCGCCUGGGGAGUACGGCCGCAAGGUUG
RNAcentral lists this ribosomal RNA (374 nucleotides) under uncultured organism. RNAcentral describes it as "partial 16S ribosomal RNA". It matches the Rfam family "Bacterial small subunit ribosomal RNA", at positions 527 to 896 of the family's 1533-position model. The record is from RNAcentral.